UUCACUUCCGGCUAAUUUUGCUUGCCAGUUCAGUUGCUUUGUUUGCUCAUUUCUACCGUUUAGUGUGAUUCUUUUUUAAAUAGUAGAAAUGUUAUCAAGAUCAGUAAGAGCAGAAACUCGUAGCAGGGCCAAAGAAGAUAUAAAAAGAGUAAUAACUGCAAUAGAUAAAGUCAGGAAAUGGGAGAAAAGAUGGGUUACAAUCGGUGACACGACAAUGAGGAUAUAUAAAUGGGUUCCAGUUUCUGCAUCUGAACCAUUACCACCUAAUGCUGUGAGGAAAAGUUUGAAAGUAAGAUCAAACAUAAAGAAGAAAACAAGAUCCACACAUGACACUGAGGCAUCUCAAGGAAGUGAUAUCAGUAAGGUCCAUGUGAACGAAAACAGUUCAUCCCAGCAAGUUUACACUGAUGAAAAUACACAGCAGUCUCAGCCAGACUCUCUCUGCAGUGAUCAAGUGAGCAAUAUGAAUGAAGAUUCCUACCAGUCAUUUCCUGACAACAGUAACACAGGGUUCUCCCAGUCUCAGGACACAGACAGCAAUCAAACCGACAUGAGGAUUGCCAUGAGAAUGAUCAAAGAUGAUAGGAAGAAAAUUUCAGAGGAUACAAAUGAUUCAGAGCCACCCAUGCUAGAGAGAGAACAAGAUGAUCCACCCACCAAAAAAUUAAAAACAGAUACUUGAUGCAAGUGAUAUUUUUUGUAAAGUUCAUAUCCAUGUGUUUGAUGUUGGUACAUGUAAUAUUCAUAUUGUCAUACAACAUUUUUAUAGACCCUGUUGUGAGUGAAAGGGAAAUUUCAAGGGGAAAUAAUUCAAUGUUUUAACUCAAAUUAAAGGAAGGAGUCAUUAUGCAAAGUUCCUAGAAAAUGUGUUCAAAAUAAAAGUGAAUAUUUGUGA
RNA transcript from Saccostrea cuccullata (small rock oyster), 895 nucleotides. It is a transcript of the gene named B-cell CLL/lymphoma 7 protein family member A-like, with no coding region annotated. Lineage: Eukaryota; Metazoa; Mollusca; Bivalvia; Ostreida; Ostreidae. The record is from RefSeq and is a predicted model, not a curated record. The transcript has 8 exons.